RNAcentral lists this ribosomal RNA (253 nucleotides) under uncultured bacterium. Its description in RNAcentral is "partial 16S ribosomal RNA". It matches the Rfam family "Bacterial small subunit ribosomal RNA", at positions 524 to 776 of the family's 1533-position model. The record is from RNAcentral.
UACGAACUGUGCGAACGUUAUUCGGAAUCACUGGGCUUACAGGGUGCGUAGGCGGCUCAACAAGUCAGGUGUGAAAGCCCCCGGCUCAACCGGGGAACCGCGCUUGAAACUGUUAGGCUCGAGUCAGCUAGAGGUACACGGAACUUCCAGUGGAGCGGUGAAAUGUGUUGAUAUUGGAAGGAACACCGGAGGCGAAAGCGGUGUACUGGGGCUGGUCUGACGCUGAGGCACGAAAGCCAGGGGAGCGAACGGG